RNAcentral lists this transfer RNA (85 nucleotides) under Candidatus Asgardarchaeum californiense. RNAcentral's name for it is "tRNA-Ser". It matches the Rfam family "tRNA". From Rfam's summary of the family: Transfer RNA (tRNA) molecules are approximately 80 nucleotides in length. Their secondary structure includes four short double-helical elements and three loops (D, anti-codon, and T loops). Lineage: Archaea; Promethearchaeati; Candidatus Asgardarchaeia (ex Tamarit et al. 2024); Candidatus Asgardarchaeales (ex Tamarit et al. 2024); Candidatus Asgardarchaeaceae. The record is from RNAcentral.
GCCGAGGUGGCCCAGCCCGGAACGGCGCGAGCCUGGAGAGCUCGUGGUGCUUUGCACCUCGGGAGUUCAAAUCUCCCCCUCGGCG